Molecule: non-coding RNA, 27 nt
Filed under: Homo sapiens (human)
Lineage: Eukaryota; Metazoa; Chordata; Mammalia; Primates; Hominidae
Source: RNAcentral
UCUGUGACACCUUGGGGACGUGUGGUU